Mustela lutreola (European mink) is the source of this 2235-nucleotide long non-coding RNA. RefSeq lists it as uncharacterized. NCBI's taxonomy places the organism in Eukaryota, Metazoa, Chordata, Mammalia, Carnivora, Mustelidae. The transcript is spliced from 4 exons. The record is from RefSeq and is a predicted model, not a curated record.
GCGGCGGGGAAGCGCACCUCCGCCCGCUGUUAGGACUUGGUGACAACCGGCUCCAGGUGGGCAGCCCCGGGGAGGAGAAGAAAAACACGGAGGAGCCCAAACAGAGAGCAAGGACGGUCCUCCGCGACCUUGGCUAGAGAAAAACGAGAGCCUCUGAAAGCCAAUGCAAGAGCAGCCAAGCCAAAUGAGCUCGGUCCCACUCACCCUGCAGACGAGAGUGUAAACGGUGCCCUGGGAUCUCCCUUUGCUUCCCGUGUUCUCCCUGAUGUUCUUCUGGAAGCCACGCACAGGGGUCUGAAUGCGGAGGGUGACAGCUUCAUCUUGUUUCGUUCACUUUCGAUGCAUAAAGAGCUCUAGAGACUGUUUUCAAGGAGAAUCGACUCUCAGAUCUUCAUUCACACUGAGGUGUUGAUGACCGGUUACUGUCCAACACAGCUAUCCUCAUUAGAGUGUGAGAUGAAUUUUGAGAUGUUCUUCUAGGCUGGACAGAAGUUGCUGCAUGAGGAAGAAGAAUAUCUAUUUCUCUACCACCAUGGUUUGCCCUAAAGGAAGAAAACUCUGCAGCCCACCACGGGAAGCAGAGGAGUAGGUUUUAAGUACAAGGGAAUAAAACAGUCAUGAUUCUGUAUCUCUACACGUGGAUGGACAGCAGCUCACACUCUCCAAUCAGUAAGGAAUCUAUGAAAAUCUGAAUUUUCAUAGGGUCUGGUGAAAUGAAUUCAGCCGGGCUCAAGAUACACCACCCCCAAAUAUGGCACCUUGGAAUUCUGGCUAUUUUAAGCUGAAGAAAAAAGAAUGAAAAUAAAUACAAAGAGCAUCAGUGAGGUUUAGGACAACUUUGAGCAACCCGAUAUAUUUAUAGUUGCUCUCUCUGAAAGGGGGUGGGGGGGAAAUCUAUUUGAAGAAAUAAUGACAGAAAAACUUCCAAUUUGGUUAAACUAUAAACCCACAGAUCCAAAAAACUUAAUAAACCCCCAGUACAAGAAACAUGAAGAAAGCUACAUCUGCAAUGUUUCAAGUUGAGUAAAUAUGCAUUAUUUACCCUAUAUAUGUAAGGCUGGACAUAAAUUUAAAAUUAAGGGGGAAAAAAAUCUGUCCUCCACUAGCUAAGAAAACCUUAGUAGCCCCUUGACUGUCUUCCUGGGUAUAAUGGAGGACUCAAGAAAAUUCAAAAUAGUUUCUGUCUUCAAGUAGGUUUAAGCUACCUGGGUGCAUUAAUGUGGGAAACACUAUUCCUUAAAUCCACAAUAUCCAUUCUCUCUUCUUCCAUUGCUGGCAGACAACCCCUGGUUGUGUCCAAACAUCUGCCUCUUUUCCACACGACUCCAGAAGGAAAGACCCAUCUGCAGACCCAGGAAUAAAUGAGGGUCUGAUUCCCCUUGACAGUAAUUGACACGAGGGUGGCUCUCUGACCUAUUUCUGGCUAAGAGAUGUUGGGGGGAAAUGCACAGGAGGAUAUCUGAGAAAGAUUCUUGGCUUCCAAGCAAGGUUAAGAGGAAAAGACAAUCUCUUUGUCCUUUGGACUCUGAAAUGCCUGAUGCCUGGAACUUCUGUACUCAAUUUGUGACUAAGCUGGGCCAGUCUGAGGUCAGAGUCAACAACAUCUUGAGGACGACAGAACAGUGGAAAGAAUCUGGAUCUUUGAUGAUGUUACUGAGCUGCUGAAUUAAGCAACUCUGAAGCUUCCAUACCAGUGAACUUCUUCUUGUAUGACAUAGUACAUUUCCUUACUGUUGAAUUCAAAUUAAGUUUUAUGUUCCUUGUAGCUCCAAAUACUCUGUUAGCACUAACUAAAUACAUGACUCAUUCUGCCACGGAAAGUGAAGGACAUAGACAAAAUAAAUUCUACAGUUACUUUUGGCCCUAACCAACCCACCUUAAAUGUAACUGAUUAAUCUAGGCAGUCAGUAAUAACUAUCAUGUGUGUGACUCAGAAAAUAGGUGCUCCAUGACUCAGCAUUCAUCUUCCAGGGAUAGACUCAAGAGAAACCAGUGCAUAUAUCCACCAAAGGACAUACAAAUAGGUGCACAGAAACUUUAUUCAUCAUAGCUCAAGUCUGGAAACCCCACAUCCGGAUUCGCCAGAGAAACAGAAUGACGAGGUUCUAUACAUUCAUAUAUUAAGAAAUUGAAGGGGUGUCUGGGUGGCUCAGUCGGUUAAGCAUUUGCCUUCAGCUCAGGUCAUGAUCCCAGGGCCCUGGGAUUGAGCCCCGCAUUGGGCUCUCCGCUUAGCAG